CAUAGGGGCCUGGGCAAGCGCAUGGUGUUGGACGAACAACUUAUUUGUGGGAUUCACUGCAAACCACUGAUGAGUUAGAAAUCAUGCUGCCUUUAUCCGCGACUCCAGGCUAAUCUAUAGAGGUAAAUAAGAGUUUAUCAGCGACACACUCCAGCGACAUCCAAUGUAUUUCCUUGUUCUUUCAAUUUUAAUUUUUCUGCUAUCAACAUGUCUUCCCCUUCUACACCUACCAAAGGGAAUUUUUUUAGCUUCACGGGAAUUUAAUUUUCUAUCCAACUAAUACCAACCUAACGGUCCAUGAAAGAGUUGUUAUGUGUUGCUGUUCUAAUGAUGUAUUCCAGGCAAACCUACAGCAAUCCACUAAUACUUCUAUCUUUUGUUACAGUAUGGUUGUAUUGAGUUGGUCAAUUGUACGAAUUGCACAUUAUAGUCCAUUUUUGCACGGUUAUUAAAACAUGAUUAUAAGUUGUAUACUACUGUUCUGUAUUUUAUCUCCAGAACUAGGGUUUGUUUGCUUGUUUAAUUUUUUUAUAAAUUGUAGGCUACUCUGUGGUGGUAAUCAUUUAAACUAUAAAUGGAUGUGAUUGGGAUGACUAUGACUGUCUGUAAUUUCACCCUUAUUUAUGCUUAGUAUGCUACAAUUUUAAGCACAAAUUAAGAGACGACAAACUCAUAUAUUACAUCUAUAUGGCUGAAAAUAUAGAUGCGGCAAUUAUCUAUUGGUCUGGUAAUAGCAGCUUGCGAGCUGCUAUUACUAUCUUACAAUUUUUUUAAAAAUUAUUUUAGAUGUAGAUAUUUGUCCCCGUACAUUUAAUUUAAAAUUCCUAACUUAACUGAAAUUGAAAAAGCACUAAGUGACACGUUUGUUUGCUUAAUUAUAUGACUGUUCCAAUAUCUGUAACACUUUAUUCAUCCAUUUGUGCUUACACUCAUAACAAAAAACUUGUCCAUGGAUUUGAAAAUAAUCUUCUUUUGUCCUAUACAUUUUUAAGCUUGAAUGGAUGUUAGAGUGUGACUUUGUUCAAAAGACGGAUAUGCAAUGUUGAUAUUACAAAAAUUGUCAUCUUAACUGGUUCUAGAGUCCGGUAAUUCGUACUCCUUAAGUUAUUUGUGGUAGCAUUGCUGCACCUGUUUUCCUUAUAGGUAUUGGAAACUCCAUUGUAUUUGUUAAACCAACACUUGUUUGGCCUGCAAUGCAUUAGUCAUUCAGCCCAUGAAUGCAGCUAAGUGCAAAAUUGACUUCCGCUGUAAGUCCCUCUAACCUUUAUCAGUGUCAUAUAUUCAUUCAUGGUCUAUUACUAAACAAAUUUCGUGAUUUGAAGUUUCUCCUACUAGCUGCACAUCCUAUUGCUUUUCCAACUCAUCCAGCGGUUCAAAUAACUUUCAACAGUGUAUGGACAACUACAAUUAGCAUGUAAAGCACCGAGAACCUUUAUGCUGUUCUAUUUUUUUUUUGGUCCAAACUAGUGACAUUUACAUGCCAAUGUGCAUAACAAUGGCAAAAUUUCUGCUCUUAUAUGCAGCAAAUGAACAAGAAAUUGCAGUGGACUUAUACCAUGGACUUCAACUUCAUCACCACAUAUGUUGAUUGGAAGCAAACGAAAAAAUGCGACAAUCAUAAGGCAAAUGACUAGAAUUACGAUAUGCUUGCCGCAUAUUUGAGGGAACAUUUUGAGAUGCAAGUCACCGGGGGCCAGUGCCAGUCAAGAUUGUAUAGGUUCAAGAAAAAGUAGAAUGUGUUUUCCAAUCUUCGUGGUUUGUCUUCUAAACCUGAGACUGGGAUUGGUUGGGACAAAGAAAGUAACUGCUUCAUGGCCAGCGACGAGCACUGGCCCCAAAUGGAAGCAAUAUGCGAGCAUAUAUUUGCAUUCCUUUCUCCAUGCUCACCCUCCAUUUGUGUAUCGUACUUGCUCAACAUGAAAUACCUACUCAAUUGCUUUUACUAAAGUUGUUCAAAUAAACGU
Molecule: long non-coding RNA, 1964 nt
Filed under: Coffea arabica (coffee)
Lineage: Eukaryota; Viridiplantae; Streptophyta; Magnoliopsida; Gentianales; Rubiaceae
Description: long non-coding RNA (CARA_LNC006530)
Source: RNAcentral